This 485-nucleotide ribosomal RNA is filed under the name Villa sp. LRC-2002. RNAcentral describes it as "partial 16S ribosomal RNA". The stretch from base 1 to 157 matches the Rfam family "Archaeal large subunit ribosomal RNA", at positions 1894 to 2099 of the family's 2987-position model. The record is from RNAcentral. Lineage: Eukaryota; Metazoa; Arthropoda; Insecta; Diptera; Bombyliidae.
GUUUAUCAAAAACAUGUCUUUUUGUUAUUUAUAAAAAGUCUAGCCUGCCCAGUGAAAUUUAAAUGGCCGCAGUAUUUUGACUGUGCGAAGGUAGCAUAAUAAUUAGUCUUUUAAUUGAAGGCUUGUAUGAAAGGUUGGACGAAAAAUAUACUGUCUCAUUAUUAAAUAUAUAAUUUUAUUUUUUAGUUAAAAAGCUAAAAUUAUAUUAAAAGACGAGAAGACCCUAUAGAUCUUUAUGUUAAUAUUAUUUAUAAUAUUAAGAUUAUUUUAUUUUAGAUAAAAGUUAAUAUUGAGUUGGGGUGACUUUAAAAUUUAUUUAACUUUUAAUUUGAUUUAAACAUUUAUUUAUGUUUUAUAAUAAAUAAGAUCCAUUAUUAAUGAUUUUAAGAUUAAGUUACCUUAGGGAUAACAGCGUAAUCUUUCUGGAGAGUUCAUAUUAAUAGAAAGGAUUGCGACCUCGAUGUUGGAUUAAAAUAAUUUUUUGG